AUACCACCAAUCAAUUCUAUAUAUAGUACAUUGUAAUAUCCCGUGUAAUAUAUCGUCAUGCGUAUUGUGAUGGUCUUGAUGAUUUAUUGUACACCAAACCCGAAUACAAAAAGCACCUUCACUUCAGGUAUAUACACGCAGUAAUAUAAACCAGACUAUUUUUGGAAGUGACACUUUGAAGUGGAGUAUGGAUCAAGAUGUGUUAAGGAAACUCUUAACCACUAUUGCUGUCAUUUUCUUCGCCUCGUCGUCUAAAUUAAUUGGAACAGUUGCAGUUCUUGCUCAGGGGGAAUACGAGGGGGCCAUUCGACUUGUAGACGGUACGUCGGCUUAUGAGGGGCGAAUUGAGAUCUAUCAUUCCGGAGAGUGGGGCACAAUUUGUGAUGAUUCUUGGGAUACUAACGAUGGUGAAGUGGCCUGUCGACAAUUAGGCUACCCUGGAGUCGACCAGGCAUUCCAAGGAGUUCAGUUUGGGGAAGGGUCUGGAACGAUCUGGCUGGAUGACUUGCGAUGCAGUGGUUUAGAAGAAGAACUGUCUGCUUGUUCUAGCAAUGGAUGGGGAGUUCAUAACUGCGGACAUUCGGAAGAUGCAGGACUCAGGUGCUCUUCUAUCUCAUCAGGAACCGAGCUGAGACUAGUCGGCGGUUCUUCGUCGAAUGAGGGACGUGUUGAGAUCUACUACUCAGGAGAGUGGGGUACUAUAUGUGAUGAUUCAUGGGAUAUUAACGAUGGUGCAGUGGCCUGUCGACAAUUAGGCUAUUCUGGAGUCGACCAGGUAUUCCAAGGAGGUCAGUUUGGGGAAGGGUCUGGAACGAUCUGGCUGGAUGACUUGCGAUGCAGUGGUUUGGAAGAAGAACUGUCCGCUUGUUCUAGCAAUGGAUGGGGCGUUCAUAACUGCGGACAUUCGGAAGAUGCAGGACUCAGGUGCUCUUCUAUCUCAUCAGGAUCCGAGCUGAGACUAGUCGGCGGUUCUUCGUCGAAUGAGGGACGUGUUGAGAUCUACUACUCAGGAGAGUGGGGUACUAUAUGUGAUGAUUCAUGGGAUAUUAACGAUGGUGAAGUGGCAUGUCGACAAUUAGGCUAUUCUGGAGUCGACCAGGUAUUCCAAGGAGGUCAGUUUGGGGAAGGGUCUGGAACGAUCUGGCUGGAUGACUUGCGAUGCAGUGGUUUGGAAGAAGAACUGUCUGCUUGUUCAAGCAAUGGAUGGGGCGUUCAUAACUGCGGACAUUCGGAAGAUGCCGGACUCAGGUGCUCUUCUAUCUCAUCAGGAUCCGAGCUGAGACUAAUAGGCGGUUCUUUGUCGAAUGAGGGACGUGUUGAGAUCUACUACUCAGGAGAGUGGGGUACUAUAUGUGAUGAUUCAUGGGAUAUUAACGAUGGCGCAGUGGCAUGUCGACAAUUAGGCUAUUCCGGAGUCGACCAGGUAUUCCAAGGAGGUCAGUUUGGGGAAGGGUCAGGAACGAUCUGGCUGGAUGAUUUGCGAUGCAGUGGUUUGGAAGAAGAACUGUCUGCUUGUUCUAGUAAUGGAUGGGGCGUUCAUAACUGCGGACAUUCGGAAGAUGCAGGACUCAGGUGCUCUUCUAUCCCAUCAGGAUCCGACCUGAGACUAGUAGGCGGUUCUUCGUCGAAUGAGGGACGUGUUGAGAUCUACUACUCAGGAGAGUGGGGUACUAUAUGUGAUGAUUCAUGGGAUAUUAACGAUGGUGCAGUUGCAUGUCGACAAUUAGGCUAUUCCGGAGUCGACCAGGUAUUCCAAGGAGGUCAGUUUGGGGAAGGGUCUGGAACGAUCUGGCUGGAUGAUUUGCGAUGCAGUGGUUUGGAAGAAGAACUGUCUGCUUGUUCUAGCAAUGGAUGGGGAGUUCAUAACUGUGGCCAUUCAGAGGAUGCGGGAGUACGCUGUGCGGUAUCUGCUUCCACGGAAGGGGCAGUGCGUUUGGUGGACGGUCCGAACGAUGCAGAGGGACGCUUGGAGAUCUUUCACGAUGGCCAAUGGGGUACCGUCUGUGACGACACGUGGGACUUGGAAGAGAGCCGGGUGGUCUGCCAACAACUCGGAUUCGAAGGUGAGGGGUAUUUCACCACCAGCGACAGGGGCUACCAAGAGGCCACAGGAUCAAUCUGGUUGGACAACGUACAGUGUAACGGGGACGAGGGUCAGCUCAGCUAUUGCACUCAUGAUGGUUGGGGAGUACACAACUGCGGACAUUCAGAAGAUGUUGGCGUACAGUGUCACGGCCUAUCGAGUAGCGGCCUUUCUGGUUGGGAGAUAUUUGGAAUCGUUGCCGGAUGCUUAACAGGGGUGUUCUUUUUCUACCAUUGCUGUCUUAAAAAAGGGAAGAACGAAUCAUCCCCAUCAGUACCCACCCAAAGCACAGAAAUUACACUAGAUGUUACAGGUGGAGAAAGAACUCAGGAGUCGGGCGAUUCUCCUCCAGAGAAUACAGGGGAGUUAGCUUUGACUCAUUUAGGUGAUCCAAACUCAAGCUUACCGGACGUUCCGCCACCAGCUUACGAAGACAUCGGAAAAUUUUCGACCGUGCAAAUGCCGGGAUCGGAAGCGUUGUACCCUCCGCCAUCCUCUACGGGCUCGUUUUUACCUCCUAGUCAACCUUAUAACUCAGUAUAUCCCUACCCGCCGCCCAUCUCCGUAUCAUACCCUCCACCACCACCACCACCUCCACCAGAAAUCUCAGGUGGUUCUGUUGCACAUCUGUAUUCGCCGCAGGUUCCAUCAUCUGUACCUUCUUUACCUCCAGCUAGUUAGUCUAUGUAGUGCUUAAUUCCUAUUUGAUUUCGGCCACCGCACACGUUACGACGAGUCUACGACCUGUUUGCGGAAGGAACAGCACAUUGCUAAUUUUAUGAUAGCAAUAGUAUAUAUUUAUAAUAAUGAUCUGAUCUGAUGUUUGGUGUAACUAUUAGAAUACUGAUAUCAAAAUAACUAUGAUCAAUAUUUUGAAGCCACUAAUUAGGCCCGGAGUGAUGGCCAAAUUGAUUUGAAAUUGUAAACAUUUUGUAUGACUGUUAUGACUUAAUUACGACUAAGAAUCGAAUUCGCUUCUGUAGGUCUACAUUAAGUCUAUCAUAAUAUAAAUACCCCCGUAUAGGUGUUCAUAUGACGAUUCCGAAUUAUGGAAAGUAGUAUGUUCCAUGUUUUAAUAUUUACAUCAAACGUUUAAUCUUUUUUUUUCCAAAAUCGGGCGUAGACCAAUCGUAAGGUGCGCGAUGGUCAUUAGGCUAUAUCAUCAAUAUAAUUAUAUAUUUUUGUAAUAUUGACGUCUAUGCAUCCAAUUAUGUAUAUAUUGUAUAAGCAUCUAAACAAAAUAAUAUUUAUGGUAAUGUAAUUAUUUUAAUUUGUUAUGAAAUUAUGAUUUAUCCAUCGUGCUGUUGUAUGUAUAAAUGUGUAUUUUAAUGAUUUUGUUGAAAUGUUUUGUAUACUUUUGCGAUUCGGCUCUUGCCAAUUUCGGAACAUAUUGAAUCGAAUUAGAUAAGACAUAUGGAAUAGACAGAACCUCAAUUCUUAUUUUAACAUGGGGCCACAGGGAUAAGGGGAAACAGAGAUGAAGGCCCUGGAUGGAUCAAGCUCAUUAUAAACACUGUUGAAAUUAAUCUAAACAACGCAGUUUACUAUCCCGGACCAUCCCUUUAAACAGUUUAAACAAGUGUUUAGAAUCUUAAACAACUAUGCUUAAAUUAUUGAUAAUUUAAUAUUUGAAUUUAAAAUUUGUUGUUUAAGAUAUUGAACACUUGUUUAAAAUGUUUAAACUACUACUGUGCGAUUCACAUAGUUAACAGCGUUGUUUAAAUUAUGUUUUACACUGCAAAAACUCCGGUGUUGAUUUAACACCAGCCCGGAAUCUAUAUGUCCACACCAGAGAAGUAUUGAAACAAAACCAGUUUGGAAUCAAACCCAUGCUGUUUUGAUACUAAUUGGUGUUGUAUAAACACCUAUCUGGUGUGAGACCAAAAACGAAACUGGUGUUGUUUAACACUUCUCUGGUGUGGCAUAUAUAGAUUCCAGGCUGGUGUUAAAUCAACACCAGAGUUUUUGCAGUGUAACAUUGAACAAAUAAAGUUGGCUGAGUAAUGCAAGUCUGCAUAUGCCGACUUAACCCAAGACAAGACAAGAAGGCAGUGUGGAGGGAAGGGGACAACCGGGAAAGAAUGGCCAACUUUUAGCUUUUAAAAUCUAUAUAUAUUUUUUGCAAUUGCAUAUUAUUAUAAUAUUGGUCACGAUCUUACUGUUUGAUUUGAUUCAUUUAGUGUUUUUUUUUCAACAAUAGAGGGAUGGUACAACCUUCUAUCAUAAUGAAAAUCAGAUAUCCAAAGAGAUACAUUC
Molecule: RNA transcript, 4339 nt
Organism: Lytechinus pictus (painted urchin)
Lineage: Eukaryota; Metazoa; Echinodermata; Echinoidea; Temnopleuroida; Toxopneustidae
Gene name: deleted in malignant brain tumors 1 protein-like
Exons: 9
Source: RefSeq, a predicted model, not a curated record